Molecule: long non-coding RNA, 701 nt
Organism: Mus musculus (house mouse)
Lineage: Eukaryota; Metazoa; Chordata; Mammalia; Rodentia; Muridae
Product: predicted gene 4146
Exons: 3
Source: RefSeq, marked validated
AUUCUAAUGAGGAAUAGGGGAGAGGCCCAGGAACUAGAACAGCAACUGCAGGUGACUGUGAAGACUGAACUAAAUUAGUGACCAGAAGGAGGUGUGGUACUUUAAAUGCAGCCUUCACAAAAUUUAGAUUUCAUCGGAGAUCUGGAUGUCAAGAAGACACCCAUGGCAAUUUGUAAAGAAUGUUCCAGAAUAUAAUAAAUGAUCUAUCUCAAGCAAAAAUGAAUCUUUUGGACUUUUAUAGAAAUGAGAAGAAACUGUCUAGUAAUGGAAGUUGGAAAGAAAUACCUUGAGCUCUGAAAACAUGAAGACAUUGAGAAGCAAAUGAGAAAACAACACAGACUAAGCCACUCAGCUCACUACCAUGAGAUAAUGCUCUUCUGGGCACCUACAUAGCGUCAACACCCACGUCGAUAACCUCAGAGGAAAACCCAUAGGCUGGUCUGCUUCUUCAGGACAUUUCCACAGGAAGGCCAUACCACAGACAAGCUAUAUUGAAUGUAUUCUGGUGUUUGAUUGUUUGUUGGUUGUUGUUGUUGUUGUUGUUGUUGUUGUUGUAGUUGUUGUUGUUCAAGAAAAGUUUUCUCUGUGCAUAGUUCUGGAUGCCCUGGAGUAUACUCUGUAGACCUAGCUGGCCUCGAACUUACAGUUUUCCACCUGCCUUUGCCUUCUAACUGUUGAUAUUAAAGGCCUGGGCCACUGCC